GAUGGCAGCCAUAUCACCCUGUAGCCCAAGACUGGUUGCCCACUGAAGCUAAGCAGGGCUGAGCCUGGUCAGUACCUGGAUGGGAGACCUCCUGGGAAAACUAGGUUGCUGCUGGAA
Molecule: ribosomal RNA, 117 nt
Organism: Sinocyclocheilus rhinocerous
Lineage: Eukaryota; Metazoa; Chordata; Actinopteri; Cypriniformes; Cyprinidae
Source: Ensembl